RNAcentral lists this unclassified non-coding RNA (203 nucleotides) under Hevea brasiliensis (rubber tree). The record is from RNAcentral. Lineage: Eukaryota; Viridiplantae; Streptophyta; Magnoliopsida; Malpighiales; Euphorbiaceae.
CUCACUUAUGAAGAUAAAGAGGGAGACUGGAUGCUUGUCGGAGAUGUUCCAUGGGGGAUGUUCCUUAGCUCUGUUAAAAGGCUCCGGAUCUUGAGAACUUCUGAAGCUAAUGGGCUUGCUCCAAGAUUCCAAGAGAGGAAUGAAAGACAAAGAAGCAAGCCCGUUUAAGACCACCUCUGCUCAUCAUUUUAAACUCCAGAAAG